CGUCUAUAUACGUAUAGCAUAUCAAUAAGCGGAGGAAAAGAAACUAACAAGGAUUCCCUUAGUAACGGCGAGUGAAGCGGGAAGAGCUCAAAUUUGAAAUCUUCAAGGUUCUACCUUGACGAAUUGUAGUUUAAAGAAGUGUUUUCUGUUAGAGGAGUGGCAAAAGUUCUUUGGAAUAGGACAUCAUAGAGGGUGAGAAUCCCGUAUUUGGUCAUUCUUUCUAGCUGUGUGAUACACUUUCAAAGAGUCGGAUUGUUUGGGAAUGCAGUCCAAAAUGGGUGGUAAAUUUCAUCUAAAGCUAAAUAUUGGCGAGAGACCGAUAGCGAACAAGUACCGUGAGGGAAAGAUGAAAAGAACUUUGAAAAGAGAGUUAAACAGUACGUGAAAUUGUCAAAAGGGAAGCGUUUGACACCAGUGUUGUUUUUCCGAAAAUCAAUUAAGAGUGGCUUGAUUUUGUGUUGUAUUGACCUUAUCAGCUUUCUUCACUCUUUUUCGAGUCUUUCUUAAUGCACUUUUCGGUUAACAAGUCAACAUCAAUUUCUUUUGUUGUAAAAGGGUAUUUGGAAGGUGGCUUUCUUUUCGGAGAAAGUGUUUAUAGCCUUAUACCUCUACAAUCGGAGAGAUUGAGGUCUGCAGCGUAGAUCCUUCGGGGCUAGAUACACUUGUGCUAAGUUAUAGCUUUUCAUAGACAACUUGUUGACUAUGUUUAGUCAUGUAGCUUACUCGCUUCGCUGCUAUUUUACCUACGCUUAGGAUGUUGAGUCAUCACACAUCUCU
This 777-nucleotide ribosomal RNA is filed under the name uncultured Neocallimastigales. RNAcentral describes it as "partial large subunit ribosomal RNA". It matches the Rfam family "Eukaryotic large subunit ribosomal RNA", at positions 26 to 618 of the family's 3401-position model. Lineage: Eukaryota; Fungi; Neocallimastigomycota; Neocallimastigomycetes; Neocallimastigales. The record is from RNAcentral.